RNAcentral lists this transfer RNA (76 nucleotides) under Deltaproteobacteria bacterium. RNAcentral describes it as "tRNA-Gly". It matches the Rfam family "tRNA". Rfam says of the family: Transfer RNA (tRNA) molecules are approximately 80 nucleotides in length. RNAcentral also lists the same sequence under 1 other name. The record is from RNAcentral. Lineage: Bacteria; Pseudomonadati; Myxococcota; Myxococcia.
GCGGGUGUAGCUCAGUUGGUAGAGUCCGAGCUUCCCAAGCUCGUUGUCGCGGGUUCGAGUCCCGUCGCCCGCUCCA